RNAcentral lists this ribosomal RNA (577 nucleotides) under uncultured bacterium. RNAcentral's name for it is "bacterial SSU rRNA". It matches the Rfam family "Bacterial small subunit ribosomal RNA", at positions 338 to 917 of the family's 1533-position model. The record is from RNAcentral.
CCUACGGGAGGCAGCAGUGAGGAAUAUUGGACAAUGGGCGCAAGCCUGAUCCAGCCAUGCCGCGUGCAGGAAGAAGCAUCUAUGGUGUGUAAACUGCUUUUGUACAGGAAGAAACACUCCCUCGUGAGGGAGCUUGACGGUACUGUAAGAAUAAGGACCGGCUAACUCCGUGCCAGCAGCCGCGGUAAUACGGAGGGUCCGAGCGUUAUCCGGAAUCAUUGGGUUUAAAGGGUCCGUAGGCGGUUUAAUAAGUCAGUGGUGAAAUCUGGUCGCUCAACGAUCAAACGGCCAUUGAUACUGUUAGACUUGAAUUAUAAGGAAGUAACUAGAAUAUGUAGUGUAGCGGUGAAAUGCUUAGAUAUUACAUGGAAUACCAAUUGCGAAGGCAGGUUACUACUUAUGGAUUGACGCUGAUGGACGAAAGCGUGGGGAGCGAACAGGAUUAGAUACCCUGGUAGUCCACGCCGUAAACGAUGGAUACUAGCUGUUCGGAGCAAUCUGAGUGGCUAAGCGAAAGUGAUAAGUAUCCCACCUGGGGAGUACGUUCGCAAGAAUGAAACUCAAAUGAAUUGACCGG